UACGUAGGGCGCAAGCGUUGUCCGGAAUUAUUGGGCGUAAAGAGCUCGUAGGCGGCUUGUCGCGUCGGCUGUGAAAACUCGGGGCUCAACCCCGAGCCUGCAGUCGAUACGGGCAGGCUGGAGUCCGGCAGGGGAGACUGGAAUUCCUGGUGUAGCGGUGAAAUGCGCAGAUAUCAGGAGGAACACCGGUGGCGAAGGCGGGUCUCUGGGCAGUAACUGACGCUGAGGAGCGAAAGCGUGGGGAGCGAACAGG
Molecule: ribosomal RNA, 253 nt
Filed under: uncultured bacterium
Lineage: Bacteria
Description: partial 16S ribosomal RNA
Rfam family: Bacterial small subunit ribosomal RNA
Source: RNAcentral